UACUGUGGCCAAACCAAUUUGGCAAUGCCCAAUUUUGUCUGAUCUUGGAAGCUAAGCAGAUUUGUGCCUAUUUAGUACUUGGAUGGAGACCGCUGGGAAUACCAGGUGCCACAAUGG
This 117-nucleotide ribosomal RNA is filed under the name Periophthalmus magnuspinnatus. The record is from RNAcentral. Lineage: Eukaryota; Metazoa; Chordata; Actinopteri; Gobiiformes; Gobiidae.